GGAAAAAUUCAACUGGUCUGGCAGCAUCUGUGGGAAGAAAGCAGAGUUAAUGUUUCAGGUCGAACAGGUAGUAAAUUGUGCUUGUGGGGUCCUUCAAGCUGAAAUGGUAUAUUGUGGAGAAAGAUUGGGCGGCAGGUGACCAGCAGUCCAUAAGAAGAUAAAACAACGUGUGAAGACUUGGAUAACACAAUGUGGAGCUGAAGGAACACAGCAGGCCAGACAACAUGAGAGGAGCAAGAAAGCUGAUGUUUUGGGUCGGGACCCUUCUUCAGAAAUGUCAGCUGGCCUGUUGUGUUCCUCCAGCUCCACACUGUGUUAUCUCUGACUCCAGCAUCGGCAGUUCUUUCUAUCUCUGUGUGAAGCUUUGGGUUUUUUUUAAGUUGGAAUAAUAGAAGCAGUCUGAAUGGGUGCAGUCAAGCUCCCGCCCACAAAACCAGCAUUUUUACUUUUUUCAGUAGCAGAAGCUGCUGGAGGUGCGAACAAGCUGCCAUAUCUCUCUUUGCUAUAGCUGAAAGCUGGAGUUCUCUCUCCCUCACAGAAUUGUCUUUUGAUGUUCUUUCCUCUUGAAUUGGAGAACUGCAUGUGAGACAAUCCAUUUUCUGAAUUUGCCUUUUGCCAAGGAUGUGUUUAUGGAAUGUUGCUAUAUUGGAACAGUUAAUUACUGAUAGUUAUUGUUCUGUUAAAUUUUCCAAUAGAGUUAAGUUAUUCCAAUUCCUUCUUUCUUUUACUGUAUUUUAAUAAUAGUGGAUGAAUAAGUGUGUUUUGCUUUCCAUCUGGUAGUUUGACCAAUCAAAUUGCACCUGGAAUGCAACACCUUACAUUUACCUGUAAAAUAAGAAAAAGUUAGGGUCUAUCUUCUAAAUAAUUUAGAAUAAUAAAGAUUUCAUGAAUUUCACCUGCAUUUCUACAGCACACUACCCUCAUGGCUACAAGAACAGGUCAGAGGCUAGGAAACCUGCAGUGAGUUACUUAACUCCUGACUCCUCAAAUUGACAAGGGCGCAAGUCAGGAGUUUGAUAGAAUACUCCCUAUUUGCCUGAAUGAGUUCCAACAACACUCAAGAAGAUUUAAACCACCCAGAACAAAGCAGGCACUUGAUUGGCACCACAUCUACAAACAUUCACUCACUCCACCAUUGAAGCUUUUUAGUAGCAAUGUGCCCAUACUCAAGAUGCACUACAGAAAUUCAUCAAUGCUUCCUAAACACUUUCCGAACCACCUGCAAUUUCUCCGCCAAGCCAGUCACCAUCCAAAUUUAGAAAUAUAUUGCUGUUCCUUCAGUGUCACUGGUUCAAAUGUUGAAACUCCCUCCAUUAAUGUCUCUGUGGCUGUGCCUUCACCAAACUGACUAGCCAUUCAAGAAUGCAGCUCACCACUACCUUCUCAAAGUCAGCUAGGGAUGGGCAAUAAGUGCUGGCCCAGCUAGUCUUGCCCAAAUCCUAUGAGUGAAUUAGGAAAAAGUAGUAAGACAGGUAAGGAUAACAGAUUUGCUCCAAAAGUGUGGAAGUGAACGAGAUGGGCUUUUACAACAAUUGACUAUGGUUAUCAUGGUCAUGAUUACUGAGACUAAUUUUGAAUUCUAGAUGCAUUAAUUGAAAUUUCACCAGCUAUCACUUAAACCCCGCUCUCCAGAAUUUUAGCUUGGAUCUCUGGGUUGCUAGUCUGGUAAGGUUGCCACUACACCACACUCUCCCCCCGACUAAACUGCACAGAGAGAGAAAAGUCCACCAAGUGGGCAGUUUGUGCAUAGACAUUCAAAAAAUAAAAAUUCUGCACCCACACAUUUAAAUGAAUAAGUUGCAUAUAACAAAACAAAGCUAUAGGGAAUAUUGAUGAACACCCUGAACAGUCCCUUGUUGUUUCAAUAUGCGCAGUAUGUAAGCAACACAAAAUACUUUGAAUAAGGGUUCACCUAAGAUGCUGAAGACUUUGGAGAAGAAACAAAAAAAGGCAUCUGAUUUCUUUUUGCAUGAUCAUACUAGGGUUUCUGUAGCCAUCCAAUUCUUCACCAAAUAAAAUGUCCUUCUUCAUGCAUUAUUA
This is a long non-coding RNA of Rhincodon typus (whale shark), 2040 nucleotides long. RefSeq lists it as uncharacterized. Lineage: Eukaryota; Metazoa; Chordata; Chondrichthyes; Orectolobiformes; Rhincodontidae. The transcript is spliced from 2 exons. The record is from RefSeq and is a predicted model, not a curated record.